Molecule: long non-coding RNA, 320 nt
Filed under: Solanum tuberosum (potato)
Lineage: Eukaryota; Viridiplantae; Streptophyta; Magnoliopsida; Solanales; Solanaceae
Description: long non-coding RNA (STUB_LNC005551)
Source: RNAcentral
UUCAAAAAAAAUAAAUUAAUCACAUAAAUAAUAGAGCACAUACAUAUAUCUAAAAACUUAAAUAGAUCAUUACAAUUGUACUCUACGAGGUUUCAUAUCUUGAAAUGUCUUAAUAAUAGCAUCAUUAGGAAUACUAUCAAAUACAUCUUUUUCUACAAAAGGCACCAAACAACCACUAAAAAAAUCAUCACUCAUUUGACUUCGCAAGUCAUUCUUGAUAAACUUCAUUGCCGAGAAAGCUCUUUCAACGGAUGCAGUGGAAACUGGUAGAAGUAGAGCAAGUUUCACUAAGCGGAACACCAAAGGAUAAUUUGAAUGUU